This 253-nucleotide ribosomal RNA is filed under the name uncultured bacterium. RNAcentral's name for it is "partial 16S ribosomal RNA". It matches the Rfam family "Bacterial small subunit ribosomal RNA", at positions 524 to 776 of the family's 1533-position model. The record is from RNAcentral.
UACGUAGGGGGCAAGCGUUGUCCGGAUUUAUUGGGCGUAAAGAGCGUGUAGGCGGCCUGAAAGGUCAGCUGUGAAAACUCGAGGCUCAACCUCGAGACGUCGGUUGAAACCAUCUGGCUAGAGUCCGGAAGAGGAGUGUGGAAUUCCUGGUGUAGCGGUGAAAUGCGCAGAUAUCAGGAAGAACACCUAUGGCGAAGGCAGCUCUCUGGGACGGUACUGACGCUGAGACGCGAAAGCGUGGGGAGCGAACAGG